AUUGUUGUAACCUAAGGAUCAAACCUGGGUAUUUGUGUUUUCGUUGAUAGAAAAAAUGAUGGCUUCCUGCUUGAGGGUGAAGGAUGGAACUGGUAAGAAGUUGGGAGAGAAGAGAGUUUGGAAGCUCCAUUUUCUCAGUGAGUUUAAUUUGUCCUUUGACUCUGCUAUCAGCCACUGUUUUCCUGGGGAGAGACGCUGUUAG
RNAcentral lists this long non-coding RNA (202 nucleotides) under Monodelphis domestica (gray short-tailed opossum). RNAcentral describes it as "lncRNA (ENSMODG00000034501.2)". Lineage: Eukaryota; Metazoa; Chordata; Mammalia; Didelphimorphia; Didelphidae. The record is from RNAcentral.